GGGCGCAUAGCUCAGGCGGUAGAGCAGCUGACUCUUAAUCAGCGGGUCGCAGGUUCGAGUCCUGCUGCGCCCA
Molecule: transfer RNA, 73 nt
Filed under: Alphaproteobacteria bacterium
Lineage: Bacteria; Pseudomonadati; Pseudomonadota; Alphaproteobacteria
Also listed under: 2 other names
Description: tRNA-Lys
Rfam family: tRNA
About the family: Transfer RNA (tRNA) molecules are approximately 80 nucleotides in length.
Source: RNAcentral